RNAcentral lists this non-coding RNA (29 nucleotides) under Rattus norvegicus (Norway rat). The record is from RNAcentral. Lineage: Eukaryota; Metazoa; Chordata; Mammalia; Rodentia; Muridae.
UGAUGAUGUGUAUGGUGGGGCUCGUGAUU